GACUGGUCCAAGUGCAGUGGUGUUUACAGCUAAUUGAUCAUAACCAGUUGUAGAUUUCUUUGUUCCUUCUCCACUCCCCACUGCCUCACUUGACUAACCUAAA
Molecule: Y RNA, 103 nt
Filed under: Microcebus murinus (gray mouse lemur)
Lineage: Eukaryota; Metazoa; Chordata; Mammalia; Primates; Cheirogaleidae
Description: Y RNA (ENSMICG00000044334.1)
Rfam family: Y RNA
About the family: Y RNAs are components of the Ro ribonucleoprotein particle (Ro RNP), in association with Ro60 and La proteins. The Y RNAs and Ro60 and La proteins are well conserved, but the function of the Ro RNP is not known.
Source: Rfam by way of RNAcentral